GGGAAGAGGCUGGCAUAGAGUUCCCAGGGGGUACCCAGCAGACAGACAGCUCUGUAAUUUGGGGGAGAAGAAGAGUUGUCCUUUUUGUGUACUGGAUAGGCUGUGCUCUGAGCCCGUUCCAUGAAUUAAGAUCACUCAGUUACUUUGCAAGGAAGGAGUCCAGAACAUCAACCAGAAGAGGGUAUAAAUAAUUCUGGAGGGAAAAGAGCAUCUUUCCAGGAACCUCUGCAUCUGAAGCUAGGGAUUGAUUGCUGGCCUGCUGUGACCACCCACCUUGAGACCACAGACCUGCUACCUGCUGUGCUCAUCAAUUGCUGCCUGAAUCCUGUGCCGGCUAGGCAAUCUCGUGACUGUUGUAAAAGGGACAUUCCAAGCGUAUGUGAUACAUGCUCUUUGACAGUGUAUAACCACUCUGUACACCCCCACUUCUUUGGAGUGCGCCAUUCCUUUGUGAAAGGACUCUACCAAGAGUCUAUAUGGUCCUCAGACCUGGCUCAUAAUAAA
RNAcentral lists this long non-coding RNA (504 nucleotides) under Equus caballus (horse). RNAcentral describes it as "lncRNA (ENSECAG00000052639.1)". The record is from RNAcentral. Lineage: Eukaryota; Metazoa; Chordata; Mammalia; Perissodactyla; Equidae.